Molecule: ribosomal RNA, 637 nt
Filed under: uncultured fungus
Lineage: Eukaryota; Fungi
Description: eukaryotic LSU rRNA
Rfam family: 5.8S ribosomal RNA (bases 228-380)
Source: RNAcentral
AGUAAAAGUCGUAACAAGGUUUCCGUAGGUGAACCUGCGGAAGGAUCAUUACCGAGUGAGGGCCCUCUGGGUCCAACCUCCCACCCGUGUUUAUUUUACCUUGUUGCUUCGGCGGGCCCGCCUUUACUGGCCGCCGGGGGGCUCACGCCCCCGGGCCCGCGCCCGCCGAAGACACCCUCGAACUCUGUCUGAAGAUUGAAGUCUGAGUGAAAAUAUAAAUUAUUUAAAACUUUCAACAACGGAUCUCUUGGUUCCGGCAUCGAUGAAGAACGCAGCGAAAUGCGAUACGUAAUGUGAAUUGCAAAUUCAGUGAAUCAUCGAGUCUUUGAACGCACAUUGCGCCCCCUGGUAUUCCGGGGGGCAUGCCUGUCCGAGCGUCAUUGCUGCCCUCAAGCCCGGCUUGUGUGUUGGGCCCCGUCCUCCGAUUCCGGGGGACGGGCCCGAAAGGCAGCGGCGGCACCGCGUCCGGUCCUCGAGCGUAUGGGGCUUUGUCACCCGCUCUGUAGGCCCGGCCGGCGCUUGCCGAUCAACCCAAAUUUUUAUCCAGGUUGACCUCGGAUCAGGUAGGGAUACCCGCUGAACUUAAGCAUAUCAAUAAGCGGAGGAAAAGAAACCAACAGGGAUUGCCCCAGUAACG